RNAcentral lists this ribosomal RNA (483 nucleotides) under uncultured bacterium. Its description in RNAcentral is "bacterial SSU rRNA". It matches the Rfam family "Bacterial small subunit ribosomal RNA", at positions 28 to 526 of the family's 1533-position model. The record is from RNAcentral.
GACGAACGCUGGCGGCGUGCUUAACACAUGCAAGUCGAGCGGAAAGGCCCUUUCGGGGGUACUCGAGCGGCGAACGGGUGAGUAACACGUGAGUAAUCUGCCCUGCGCUCUGGGAUAGCCACCGGAAACGGUGAUUAAUACCGGAUAUGACCGCUCUAGGCAUCUAGUGGUGGUGGAAAGUUUUUCGGCGCAGGAUGUGCUCGCGGCCUAUCAGCUUGUUGGUGAGGUAAUGGCUCACCAAGGCUUUGACGGGUAGCCGGCCUGAGAGGGUGACCGGUCACACUGGGACUGAGACACGGCCCAGACUCCUACGGGAGGCAGCAGUGGGGAAUAUUGGACAAUGGGCGGAAGCCUGAUCCAGCAACGCCGCGUGAGGGAUGACGGCCUUCGGGUUGUAAACCUCUUUCAGUACCGACGAAGCGAGAGUGACGGUAGGUACAGAAGAAGGACCGGCCAACUACGUGCCAGCCGCCGCCGUAACAC